UUUUGGCCCCAUGAAUUUAUUAGUCGAGGCAAAAAGCAGACUGGAAUUCCAGUCCAGUUUUGAGAUUUCUCAAAUUUUCACCUCCCAAAAUACAUGGGUUGGAGAAGCUUUUUGGAGGCUAAACUCAAAAUUUGAGUUUCCACCCCUUGGGUUGGAGAUGGUGUAAGGAAUUGGAUAAAAAAUAUAGAUUCGACAACUCCGAGAAUCUCCGAAUGAUAAAUUUGGUAUUUCAGCUAGCUGGACAUGAGAUUGUGCAGGAUUCAAGGCGAAGUUUGAGGAAGCGGGUUUCAACCAAACUACUAGGCUUUUGUUGUUGAUUUGUGUAAUUAACUCUUGUAAGUAGUCAAUGGUUUGAUAAAGAUCUUAGUGUGUAAUUAAC
Prunus dulcis (almond) is the source of this 379-nucleotide long non-coding RNA. RefSeq lists it as uncharacterized. The transcript has 3 exons. The record is from RefSeq and is a predicted model, not a curated record. Lineage: Eukaryota; Viridiplantae; Streptophyta; Magnoliopsida; Rosales; Rosaceae.